Molecule: long non-coding RNA, 990 nt
Organism: Canis lupus familiaris (dog)
Lineage: Eukaryota; Metazoa; Chordata; Mammalia; Carnivora; Canidae
Exons: 4
Source: RefSeq, a predicted model, not a curated record
CAAUUCUGGUCACCUCCUCCCCCCAGUGGGCGAGGACAAACACAACCCUGGGGAAUAAGGAGCGAAAAGUAGCCAGCAGUUUUCUGGAGCCGAGAAAACCUGUGUUUUUGCGCUUAGGUUACUUUUAUCUGGCUGAAACUUUACCUAGGAGCUUUUGAGGCUCAGACGCGGAGUCUUUGUUCUGCAUGGGACUGCUGCUGCCACUUAAAGAGAUCGCAGAUAACGUCCCCGAUGUGAGAUCAGUGCGCAAUGCACAUUAACUUUUUUUUUCUUUCUUUUUUAAGCUCUGCCUCUAACCUACGGAGGGAUCACGCGGCAGUGGGGGGCAGAUAAAAGCCCUUUGGCCGAGGGUCACCUCCGUCCUUGUUGUUCACUUGAGAGCAGUGGAGAGGAAAACGGUCCCCACGGGCGGACUUUGGCUUCUGGAGCCGCGCAGCCCAGCGGGCCGGGCCGCCCGGAGCUCCGCCUGGUCCCAGAGCGUCUUGGGAGAGCUGGAUGCUGAAGGCGGACCUCGGCCUAGUUCGCGGGCUGAAAUAGGACUCGAUUUCGAGGAAAUCGAUCAAUCUGCAGAAAACAAAACAAAACAAAACAAAAAUGGAAGUCGAGUGAGACCAGCCUAGCUCCCGAGCCGGCGGAGUCGUUCCUCUCGCCCCUCCCGCUCCCACGCGGGCCCCCCUCCAGCAUCGCUCCUGCCACCACCUCGGUUCCACUCAAUCGAUUUUUGCUGCAUGUCAACACUUAUUACCGCAAAGGAGAAGAUGGUGCAGCCUCGCGUUACCCUGAGGAUAUUUUCAGAGGCUCCCGGAGAAGUGGUGGCUCAGACGGCAACCUACGCACCUCCGAAAGGGGACCCCUUCGUGUCCCCGCACUGUUGUCUGCACGUCCCUUGGGACAACCAACCCGGAAUCUGAUCCUCAGCUGCCGCCACGCGCCCACCUCCCUCUGGCAUCCCCACCCCGCUGCUCCUCGCUAGCGUCGAAGACCCGCCCC